CGGCAAUAUGUGAAGGUCUCAUUGGAUUCAUAAUGGACGAGGUGGUAGAUCCAAAAGGAGAAUUUUAUUACGAUGGACGACAAUUAGACACUCCGAUCAGCAACACCACGACGGGAAGAUUGUAGACAGAUACUUUAAUUUAUUUGUAUAUAUAAUACGCGCUAAUUAUGAUCGAUUUGUACUAAGCUAGUUGAAUUGUGUAUAUGAAUUGUGUAUAAGGAUUGUGUAUAUAUAUAGUAAUUGUAUAAUUACAAAU
This 256-nucleotide long non-coding RNA is filed under the name Setaria viridis. RNAcentral describes it as "long non-coding RNA (SVIR_LNC004631)". The record is from RNAcentral. Lineage: Eukaryota; Viridiplantae; Streptophyta; Magnoliopsida; Poales; Poaceae.